Molecule: non-coding RNA, 249 nt
Organism: Pelobates cultripes (western spadefoot toad)
Lineage: Eukaryota; Metazoa; Chordata; Amphibia; Anura; Pelobatidae
Source: the annotation of a GenBank genome assembly
GCAGUCUUUGCGCAGGCACUUUUGACUCUAGAUAACCUCGGGCCGAUCUCACGUCCCCGUGACGGCGACAACGCAUUCGGAUGUCUGUUCUAUCAACUUUCGAUGGUACUUUCUGCGCCUACCAUGGUGACCACGGGUAACGGGGAAUCAGGGUUCGAUUCUGGAGAGGGAGCCUGAGAAACGGCUACCGCAUCCAAGGAAGGCAGCAGGCGCCCUGAUUAUCCACUCCCGACGCGGGGGGGAAGUGAC